AGCGAACGCUGGCGGCAGGCUUAACACAUGCAAGUCGAACGCUCGUAGCAAUACGAGAGUGGCAGACGGGUGAGUAACGCGUGGGAACGUACCCUUCAGUUCGGAAUAACCCGGGGAAACUCGGGCUAAUACCGGAUACGUCCGUAAGGAGAAAGAUUUAUCGCUGAAGGAUCGGCCCGCGUCGGAUUAGCUAGUUGGUGAGGUAACGGCUCACCAAGGCGAUGAUCCGUAGCUGGUCUGAGAGGACGAUCAGCCACACUGGGACUGAGACACGGCCCAGACUCCUACGGGAGGCAGCAGUGGGGAAUAUUGGACAAUGGGCGCAAGCCUGAUCCAGCCAUGCCGCGUGAGUGAUGAAGGCCUUAGGGUUGUAAAGCUCUUUUACCAGGGAAGAUAAUGACGGUACCUGGAGAAUAAGCCCCGGCUAACUUCGUGCCAGCCGCCGCCGUAAAAC
Molecule: ribosomal RNA, 454 nt
Filed under: uncultured bacterium
Lineage: Bacteria
Description: bacterial SSU rRNA
Rfam family: Bacterial small subunit ribosomal RNA
Source: RNAcentral